AAAAAGAUAAGCUAAUUAAGCUAGUGGGUUCAUACCCCACCUAUGAGAAUUUUAACUUCUCUCUUUUUAA
This 70-nucleotide transfer RNA is filed under the name Upogebia pusilla (Mediterranean mud shrimp). Its description in RNAcentral is "tRNA-Met". Lineage: Eukaryota; Metazoa; Arthropoda; Malacostraca; Decapoda; Upogebiidae. The record is from RNAcentral.